CAGCAGCAGUAUUUUUUUAAAUUAUGUUUUUCAAAAAUCCUUCAAGUCACAGCUGGCUCCUCUUGAAGUCUCCUUCGCCUCACUCUGGCAGGUCCUUCUCUGGUGCUUCCAGUGUAUGUGACACCCACCCACAUCCAGCGGCCUGGUUAUCUUUUCUUUGCAAGGUUGGAAGCUCUUUGAGGAGAGAGACCUACACUUUGAUCUUUGAAUUCCCAGGACCUAGAACAGCGCUUGGCACACAGAGUAACCUCUAAUAAAUAUGUGAUGGUUGAAUGAA
Molecule: long non-coding RNA, 277 nt
Organism: Odocoileus virginianus texanus
Lineage: Eukaryota; Metazoa; Chordata; Mammalia; Artiodactyla; Cervidae
Source: RefSeq, a predicted model, not a curated record